UACGUAGGGGGCAAGCGUUGUCCGGAUUUAUUGGGCGUAAAGAGCGUGUAGGCGGCUUGUCACGUCUGCUGUGAAAACUCGGGGCUCAACCCCGAGCCUGCAGUGGAUACGGGCUAGCUAGAGUGCGGUAGGGGAGACUGGAAUUCCUGGUGUAGCGGUGAAAUGCGCAGAUAUCAGGAGGAACACCGGUGGCGAAGGCGGCUCUCUAGUACGGUACUGACGCUGAGACGCGAAAGCGUGGGGAGCGAACAGG
RNAcentral lists this ribosomal RNA (253 nucleotides) under uncultured bacterium. RNAcentral's name for it is "partial 16S ribosomal RNA". It matches the Rfam family "Bacterial small subunit ribosomal RNA", at positions 524 to 776 of the family's 1533-position model. The record is from RNAcentral.